RNAcentral lists this ribosomal RNA (422 nucleotides) under uncultured Dyadobacter sp. RNAcentral describes it as "bacterial SSU rRNA". It matches the Rfam family "Bacterial small subunit ribosomal RNA", at positions 355 to 774 of the family's 1533-position model. Lineage: Bacteria; Pseudomonadati; Bacteroidota; Cytophagia; Cytophagales; Spirosomataceae. The record is from RNAcentral.
UAGGGAAUAUUGGGCAAUGGAUGCAAGUCUGACCCAGCCAUGCCGCGUGCCGGAUGAAGGCCCUCAGGGUUGUAAACGGCUUUUAUUCGGGAAGAAGAGCAGGGAUGCGUCCUUGUGUGACGGUACCGAAUGAAUAAGCACCGGCUAACUCCGUGCCAGCAGCCGCGGUAAUACGGAGGGUGCGAGCGUUGUCCGGAUUUAUUGGGUUUAAAGGGUGCGUAGGUGGCUUUAUAAGUCAGUGGUGAAAUACAGCCGCUCAACGGUUGAGGUGCCAUUGAUACUGCAAAGCUUGAAAUAAUUGGAGGCUGCCGGAAUGGAUGGUGUAGCGGUGAAAUGCAUAGAUAUCAUCCAGAACACCGAUUGCGAAGGCAGGUGGCUACGAUUUGUUUGACACUGAGGCACGAAAGCAUGGGGAGCAAACA